GAUGCUCUCCCAUCCCUCCGUCUCCCGGUGCUCAGCUCCCUCCUCCUUCCUCUCUCAAAAGCCAAGAGCUUCAAGAUUCCUCACUGUUCAGCCUUGUUCCAAAAGAUACUCUUGUUCGAACCAGAAUCAACGACUUCUGUGUAAAGCUCGAGGAGACAGUAGAUUCCAAGUCAGGAAAGUAAAGACUUGGUUCCUGGAUUUCUUGUCGCAUUCCUGGCAUCAGUAAAGCUCGCGUUCAGUCUAUUAUUAAAUCAGGAAUUGUUUCUGUCAAUGGAAAGAUUACCUAUAAGUUUUCGCAUAAUGUAAAGGCUGGAGAUGAGAUGGAUUGCAUAAUUUUAGAGUGGAAAUCUUUGAGGGUUGAACCUGAGAAUUUACCUUUGGAUAUCGUCUAUGAAGAUGAGAAUGUUCUGGUUGUUAACAAACCUGCCCAGAUGGUGAUCACUCUUUAAAAAAAGGUUGAAACUUUGAUUAGCUAAUGUUGUGUUUGGAUUGAAAUGUGAUGCUGAGAUUUUCCUUUUUGAUUGUGUGAUUUACGUUGUUCAUCCUGCGCCUGGUAAUGCUACCGGCACGCUGGUGAAUGGGAUACCACAACAUAGUAGUCUUCCAACAGUUUCAAACCAGGAAGUUUUGUCGGAUACAGAGGAUAUUUCUGACGACGAUAAUGGUGAAGGGUUAUGUUCUAGCUCAUACGUAGCAUCUGUUCGGCCAGGGAUAGUGCAUCGGUUGGAUAAAGGCACCAGUGGAUUGCUUGUUGUUGCUAAGGUGACUUCCCCCCCUUUUAAUAACCUUAGUGAUUUUAAUGUUAAAUUUGCUGUCAAAAUUUAUGAAAUAGUUUCGCUAAUUCUUUAGAGCAGUAUAUAUUGAUGGUGGGAUGAACAUUCGCAUGCUCAUUUAUCUGAGCAAUUCAAGAGGACAAUGAAAGUCCUCUAUUAAGUGACGAGGUUUAUGGAGGGACUUGAAACAUGACCUUGUCACUGCUUCGAUCCAGAACCGACCCUAGUUGUCAUAUCCAACUUUCUUUAUCACUUUCAGGAUUAUAGCGGCCAUUCCUCCAUGGUUUGGCUCUCGGAUGGGGCAUUUAGAAGAUAAAGCUUUGUCCAUUUGCUUCACUGCUUUCCAUUGACACAACUGGAUAAUAUGGAAGUUUGCUUCUUUCCAUUGUUUUGUAGAUUCACACAUCUGUUCACGGGGAAAGAAAUACAUUUUUCAUGCCCGCCUCCUCCAGAUUUUACAGACAUCUUACUAUUUGUGUUCCUUCGAAAGUUGCAAGUUGAAUGUAAAACCUAAACUUUUGGAAGAUCAUCUAAUCUUGUCUGCUAUAUGAUUAACAGAAGAAAACAUAACAUAGGGUUGCUCAAGUAACACCCGGUCCCGGCACAUCAUGAAUUUUGCUUAAUCUGGCAUGUGUCUUGUCAUUCUGUUAAAUUGUGGUAUAAAAUGGUGUUUUACAUGCUUUUCAUCUUGCUUCUUUAAUCUGAAGGGGUCAACAAUCCGUCAUUUGAUCAUAACCUAGAUUUUAUGUGGUUUUAUUGUACAAGACUGAAGUUUCUGACUGAUGUUGUUCAUGGUGUGAGCAAAUAAUUUUAGGAACUUGUCUGCCUGAUUUUUAACCGUUUGAUGAGCAACCUUCAUUUAAGGAAUGAUAGAUUUUCUCGAGCAGCAAUAAGAAAAGAUUGUUCCGCGAGCAAAGACGACAGUGUCAAAACACGCGGAAGGAUGCAACACCAAAUGGACAAAUUCGUGGUGAGCGCAAGAUUCGGGCAUGUUAAUGAAGGUGCUGGCAAGAAGAUUCUACACGGUACAUUUAGGAUUCUGAGGUAGUUCCUCAUCACAAGAGAUGGCACUGCCUCGUUCAGUUGAUAGUUGUCAGAAUAGUCUACUACCAUGGUAACUUGGAACGCCAUUCACGAACAGUUGAGAAUGAGAGAGAGAUUUAAUCGCUAGGAGAAUUUUCGCUUAAUCCCGUGUGUUUUGUUGUGAGAAUAUUAGAGUUUUCGCUUAAUCCCGUGUGUUUUGUUGUGAGACUAUUAGAGGCGACGAAUUAGUUGAUUAAUUUAUGUAUACCUUAACAUGGAUUUUUUAGAUUCGUUUUCUAAUGAUCCGAGGAUUUCUGUGAUGUGCAAGAAAAGCACCAUUCAAAUGUAAA
Populus euphratica (Euphrates poplar) is the source of this 2146-nucleotide long non-coding RNA. RefSeq lists it as uncharacterized. The transcript is spliced from 2 exons. The record is from RefSeq and is a predicted model, not a curated record. NCBI's taxonomy places the organism in Eukaryota, Viridiplantae, Streptophyta, Magnoliopsida, Malpighiales, Salicaceae.